RNAcentral lists this unclassified non-coding RNA (240 nucleotides) under Hevea brasiliensis (rubber tree). The record is from RNAcentral. Lineage: Eukaryota; Viridiplantae; Streptophyta; Magnoliopsida; Malpighiales; Euphorbiaceae.
UAAGUGCUUUAAAGCCAAAAUCACUUUAUUAACACUUUUGUGGUGUUUGGGUAAAAUAAGAAAGUGCUUUUAAGCACCUUUUGUUAAGCUAAAAAGACAAAAUAAGCUAAAAUCCAUAAGUGAGAAUUACUAACUUAUGAGUCAAAAGCUAUAAGCUCAUCCAAAUAGGCUCUAGAGUUUGCUUAUCGGUUGAUUCGAUUCAUUUUUUAUAUGUUAUCCGUUCGGUUUAUCGGUUAUCGA